RNAcentral lists this ribosomal RNA (589 nucleotides) under uncultured bacterium. Its description in RNAcentral is "bacterial SSU rRNA". It matches the Rfam family "Bacterial small subunit ribosomal RNA", at positions 338 to 917 of the family's 1533-position model. The record is from RNAcentral.
CCUACGGGAGGCAGCAGUAGGGAAUCUUCCGCAAUGGACGAGAGUCUGACGGAGCAACGCCGCGUGAGUGAUGAAGGCUUUCGGGUCGUAAAACUCUGUUGUUAGGGAAGAACAAGUGCUAGUUGAAUAAGCUGGCACCUUGACGGUACCUAACCAGAAAGCCACGGCUAACUACGUGCCAGCAGCCGCGGUAAUACGUAGGUGGCAAGCGUUAUCCGGAAUUAUUGGGCGUAAAGCGCGCGCAGGUGGUUUCUUAAGUCUGAUGUGAAAGCCCACGGCUCAACCGUGGAGGGUCAUUGGAAACUGGGAGACUUGAGUGCAGAAGAGGAAAGUGGAAUUCCAUGUGUAGCGGUGAAAUGCGUAGAGAUAUGGAGGAACACCAGUGGCGAAGGCGACUUUCUGGUCUGUAACUGACACUGAGGCGCGAAAGCGUGGGGAGCAAACAGGAUUAGAUACCCUGGUAGUCCACGCCGUAAACGAUGAGUGCUAAGUGUUAGAGGGUUUCCGCCCUUUAGUGCUGAAGUUAACGCAUUAAGCACUCCGCCUGGGGAGUACGGCCGCAAGGCUGAAACUCAAAGGAAUUGACGGA